RNAcentral lists this long non-coding RNA (442 nucleotides) under Felis catus (domestic cat). RNAcentral's name for it is "lncRNA (ENSFCAG00000052621.1)". The record is from RNAcentral. Lineage: Eukaryota; Metazoa; Chordata; Mammalia; Carnivora; Felidae.
CACGCAGUCAGUUCCCAGGACUACAGGAUUCCUUGAGGCUCAGUAUUUUUCAAGCUACCCCAGUCACCGAAGUCCCUCUGGACAUCUUGGGACAAGCAGGCAGCGUGAAAAGGAACGUACUCGGCACCAGCGUGGGCCCACCACAAAGUGACUGGGAGUCUGGGAAAAUCUCUUCGUGUGCGGCCACCUGUGAGAUGGGCUUCAAACACUUGCUGGCUUCACAGGGCUGUCUGAGAAGGCUGCAUUUUGCAGACACAAGCUCCCGCCAGCCAUUCACGGCGAUUGCUGGAAUGUUGAACAUUGUUGAGAUUCACAAAGUGGCUGUUUGGAGCGUUAACUACCUCUGAACCCUUCAGAAGGAAAGUCACCUUCUCACGUGGAUGGAAAUAUUUGCAGGUAAGGGCUUGCCGACUGACUUGGCCUUCCAACGCUAAUCUUUUGC